CAGGGUGUAGCUCAGUCAGUAGAGUGCCGCACUUGGAAUGCGGAGGCCGCUGGGGCGGAACCAGCCACCCUGACCA
RNAcentral lists this transfer RNA (76 nucleotides) under Aquisphaera giovannonii. Its description in RNAcentral is "tRNA-Pro". It matches the Rfam family "tRNA". Rfam says of the family: Transfer RNA (tRNA) molecules are approximately 80 nucleotides in length. Their secondary structure includes four short double-helical elements and three loops (D, anti-codon, and T loops). Lineage: Bacteria; Pseudomonadati; Planctomycetota; Planctomycetia; Isosphaerales; Isosphaeraceae. The record is from RNAcentral.